Long non-coding RNA from Salvia splendens (bonfire salvia), 987 nucleotides. RefSeq lists it as uncharacterized. The record is from RefSeq and is a predicted model, not a curated record. The transcript is spliced from 5 exons. Lineage: Eukaryota; Viridiplantae; Streptophyta; Magnoliopsida; Lamiales; Lamiaceae.
GGAAAGUUUAUCUCCAUCUCCAUUCAUUAAGACUCUUCAGUUCCGCCUCUCUCUGCUUGCUUACGCUCUCAGUCUCACACACACUUGGAAUUUUAGCAUCUCUGAGCUCGUCUCCAUCUCCGUCUCGAGACACAAAUCAUGGCUACAUUACUACUGGCACUUGCUACACUAUCUUUGGUUGCAGCCAGAAUCGAAGCAGGCCACAACGUCACCAUCUCUCUGUUGGACUCCGCUAUUGCCAGAGGAGCUGGGCCCUUUUGUGCAUUAUAUGGGUAAAUUAGUAAAUGUACAGUACCAAAACCGCCCAAAAACGAAAUGUGCGAAAUUUAAGAGGGAUUUUGCUAUCACCUUCCAUCUACUCCCUCAAUUCAUCACUGCAAAUUGUCUCCCCACAUUCCCACCACUCUCUAAACCCUAGCCACCACCUGAAGCAACCGGAAAUCUACAGAGAGACCCCGAUUUUUGGAAGGUUUGCCGUCCAAACAUUAUUCCCGUAGUGCGCGACCAUCUUGUUGAAGGCGACGAAAAGAUACAUUAUGAUGAAGAGAGGCCGACCUUCAAGAUCUCAACCAACGCCGGCUGAAGCAGUGAAGCAGCUUAGAUUGGACAUCGAUGAAGCGAUCGAUGAUGUGAUUCCAGUUGGAAUUGCCCAGAAAUUCUGGGAGAGAUUAGCAGAGGCCGGGACAAGUACAACUCAGGAAGAGCCUGAGCAUAGGAAACCAAGGGGGAGGAAGGUCGACCAUCUAUACAGCCUUAGAUAUGGCCACUGGUGGGGAAGUGCUGAGCAAACUAAAUUGCUGUAUACAAUCAUUACAAAAACAUAUCAAGAAAAAUUAUACAUUACAGUACAUACAUUGUACAUCACUGAUUAGAUAGAUUACAUUUUACAGUAUUAUUUGUACAUUACAUUUAUCGAUUAAUACUACCCCCUAAUCGAGAUGAUAAAUAAACCCCAGAGGAAGGACUGAUACUCGUGGACUUUAGUUA